CCUACGGGUGGCUGCAGUGGGGAAUAUUGGACAAUGGGGGCAACCCUGAUCCAGCCAUGCCGCGUGUGUGAAGAAGGCCCUCGGGUUGUAAAGCACUUUCAGUGAGGAAGAACGCCUGGUGGUUAAUACCCAUCAGGAAAGACAUCACUCACAGAAGAAGCACCGUCUAACUCCGUGCCAGCAGCCGCGGUAAUACGGAGGGUGCGAGCGUUAAUCGGAAUUACUGGGCGUAAAGCGCGCGUAGGUGGCUUGAUAAGCCGGUUGUGAAAGCCCCGGGCUCAACCUGGGAACGGCAUCCGGAACUGUCAAGCUAGAGUGCAGGAGAGGAAGGUAGAAUUCCCGGUGUAGCGGUGAAAUGCGUAGAGAUCGGGAGGAAUACCAGUGGCGAAGGCGGCCUUCUGGACUGACACUGACACUGAGGUGCGAAAGCGUGGGUAGCAAACAGGAUUAGAUACCCCUGUAGUC
RNAcentral lists this ribosomal RNA (465 nucleotides) under Vreelandella stevensii. Its description in RNAcentral is "partial 16S ribosomal RNA". It matches the Rfam family "Bacterial small subunit ribosomal RNA", at positions 338 to 795 of the family's 1533-position model. The record is from RNAcentral. Lineage: Bacteria; Pseudomonadati; Pseudomonadota; Gammaproteobacteria; Oceanospirillales; Halomonadaceae.